GCCCCAUUGGGUAAAUUUAAUUUGAGGGCCACACCCCUCGCGGGCCUGGUUUGCAGGAGAUUGUAGUGGUGGGACCACUGCCUUGGUGGCCUUGGCUGGUUGGGUGAGUGUCGCCAGGAGGACGCAGUUUUGCGCCAAAGUUCAGAAAGGGCCCGCUCCCAGAGCCGGCGUAAGUGGCCGGGAAUCGCCCGAGUCUAGGAGCUUUCAGGACAGCCCUCCUCUUUGUUCGUGAGACCACGUCCCCUCCCUGGACUCCUCCCACUCCUCCGUUGGUGGCUGCCUUUGGCCUCUGCCCCCAGGCUGCUUUCGGGACACCUGGUCGGAGCCACCUCAGAGUAGAGACUGUGUGACCAACAGCAUUUUGACCCUAUGUUGGAGCAUCUCAGGGACCACCUCAAAUGGGGCGAGAUCAGUCACACAGCACGCCUUUCUCAGCCGAGACACCUUUGCCCAGCGCUAAGAGUCAGCGCCCUCCAAGGCCAGUUCUGUACUACUUCAAACCACGCGCGCCCGUUGGUACAGCCCCUUGGGGCGGGGCACACCCAGGCCCCCUGACAUUUUCAGGGCCUGCCUGAGUGGUGACUCCCGGCUCCAAUGAACGGCCUGAUUCAUGCUGGCUCCGCCUCCCGCAAGCUGGGCGGAACCGCACAGAGUGUCAUACCUGGGUCUGAAUUCCAGGGUGCCACUUCCUCUGAAGUAGAAACUCCAAGGGGUUCCUCUCUAAACCCCCAGUGGGCCUGUGCAGUUUGAGACUUUAAAGAAGGAGCAUGCUAAUUACCACCAAGGACCAAUCAGGAUCCUGGGAUCUGACUAAUCAGAUAUACUGAGCUCAAACGCCGUGUCCUCCAAGAAGCACUGCUGGAUCUACACAGCUAGAGAGGUGUCCUUUUCUGCUGAACCCUAGGACACUCUUGUUAGUGCAGACCCCAUCCCAAGCCACAACUGACAUCCGACGCCUGGACAUUGGCACUGAGACAUUAAUUGGCCUGUCUCUCGUUGGAGCCACGAGAUGUGAAAAAUAAAACCCGUUAGCCACCGUUCUCUCUGCCACAAGAAGGAACUCUGUCUGCCACUAGAGAGAGAAAACAGUUUACACAGACAGAGGGACAGAGAGACAGAGGGACAGAGAGACAGAGACAAAGACCCAUUUGUUCUGGAAAUUUUCUGCCCUUGUCAGGAGUGGCUGGUUGGUUGACCUCACUGUCCACUACGUAACUUCCAAUAAAAUCUUCUUCCAGUAAAUCUUUCUCUAUUAAGGUG
This is a long non-coding RNA of Phyllostomus discolor (pale spear-nosed bat), 1260 nucleotides long. RefSeq lists it as uncharacterized. The transcript is spliced from 4 exons. Lineage: Eukaryota; Metazoa; Chordata; Mammalia; Chiroptera; Phyllostomidae. The record is from RefSeq and is a predicted model, not a curated record.